ACGAUGGAGCGCAGUGCUGGUUCGCCCCGUCAGCCAGACGGGGCGUCGUAAGAGGGAACCCGGUGGGAAUCCGGGACUGCCCCGCAGCGGUGAGUGGGAACGACCGCCGUCAAUCAAGCACUGGGCCGGCCACGGCCUGGGAAGCGACGGCCAGUAGGAACGCCCGUCCGGCUCCGGCCGGUCGGAAACAGCCCACGAGUCCGAAGACCUGCCCGCACCGCGCACGCGAC
RNAcentral lists this non-coding RNA (230 nucleotides) under Cryptosporangium arvum. RNAcentral also lists the same sequence under 1 other name. Lineage: Bacteria; Bacillati; Actinomycetota; Actinomycetes; Cryptosporangiales; Cryptosporangiaceae. The record is from RNAcentral.